AGCUUUGCGCAGUGGCAUUACCAUAGUCAAUGAGGUCCAACCGAGACGUGGUUAUUGCUAGUUGAAAACUAAUCCCAAUAUCCCGCUAUUGCGAUCUUUCAUUAGAGAGCUCUAGCAAUUUUUCCUGGGCUGCUGGUCAGC
Small nuclear RNA from Bolinopsis microptera, 141 nucleotides. RefSeq annotates it as U4 spliceosomal RNA. The record is from RefSeq and is a predicted model, not a curated record. Lineage: Eukaryota; Metazoa; Ctenophora; Tentaculata; Lobata; Bolinopsidae. The transcript has a single exon.